Molecule: ribosomal RNA, 253 nt
Filed under: uncultured bacterium
Lineage: Bacteria
Description: partial 16S ribosomal RNA
Rfam family: Bacterial small subunit ribosomal RNA
Source: RNAcentral
UACGAAGGGGGCUAGCGUUGUUCGGAAUCACUGGGCGUAAAGCGCACGUAGGCGGACUUUCAAGUCAGGGGUGAAAUCCCGGAGCUCAACUUCGGAAUUGCCUUUGAUACUGUUGGUCUCGAGUCCGGAAGAGGUGGGUGGAAUUCCUAGUGUAGAGGUGAAAUUCGUAGAUAUUAGGAAGAACACCGGUGGCGAAGGCGGCUUCCUGGACCGACACUGACGCUGAGGCGCGAAAGCUAGGGGAGCAAACGGG